CCUACGGGAGGCAGCAGUGGGGAAUAUUGGACAAUGGGCGCAAGCCUGAUCCAGCCAUGCCGCGUGUGUGAAGAAGGCCUUUUGGUUGUAAAGCACUUUAAGCGAGGAGGAGGCUACUUUAGUUAAUACCUAGAGAUAGUGGACGUUACUCGCAGAAUAAGCACCGGCUAACUCUGUGCCAGCAGCCGCGGUAAU
This 195-nucleotide ribosomal RNA is filed under the name uncultured bacterium. RNAcentral's name for it is "partial 16S rRNA". It matches the Rfam family "Bacterial small subunit ribosomal RNA", at positions 338 to 524 of the family's 1533-position model. The record is from RNAcentral.